UACGGAGGAUGCGAGCGUUAUCCGGAUUUAUUGGGUUUAAAGGGUGCGCAGGCGGCACGGCAAGCCGGCGGUCAAAUCGCGGGGCUCAACCCCGCCCAGCCGUCGGAACUGCCGGGCUAGAGUGGGCGAGAAGUGCGCGGAAUGCGUGGUGUAGCGGUGAAAUGCAUAGAUAUCACGCAGAACUCCGAUUGCGAAGGCAGCGCACCGGCGCCCUACUGACGCUCAGGCACGAAAGCGUGGAUAUCGAACAGG
This 252-nucleotide ribosomal RNA is filed under the name uncultured bacterium. RNAcentral describes it as "partial 16S ribosomal RNA". It matches the Rfam family "Bacterial small subunit ribosomal RNA", at positions 524 to 776 of the family's 1533-position model. The record is from RNAcentral.